GUUAUGCCGGAACACCGUUUUUAUUCCACUUUUAGUCACGCCGCAUCAAAAAUGUUCCACAAGGGUACUUCCGGUUUACAUUGUUUACCAUCGAAACAAAUUAAAUUGAUAGCUUUUCAGUCAUUUUUCUGUACAAUAAUCAUAAACUACGUUGACAAAUGGACGAGGACGUUGAUUUCUUUUGCUGACAAGUCACAGAUUUAAAGAGAUAUCUUCAAGAAAGAGGCAUACAAUGUAGUUUGCGGAGGAAACUUGAACUUGUUCGCCUGUGUGAAUUAGCUAACGAACUUCGGUUGGAGGUAUCUUUCAGAUAUGACAAAAUCAAAACUGAAAACAAUAUAUAUUUAUCAUAAAUAUGUUUAAAAAAAAAUAGAUAAAAUGUUUGUUUAUAUUAAUAUCAGAUUAUAACCUUGCAUAAUACCGAAAGCGAGUAUGUCGAUUUUGAGAGAAAUCGAAGGACUGUGACUGUUGGAGCAGAAAGAGUGACUUUGGAACCAAUGAACAAGAUUGAAGAGUGGAACAAAGAUUUGUCACAGAUACCAGACGUAGAAUCUUUUGAUGUCUUGGUUUACCUUACACAGAAGUGUGGGUGGAAUUCUGCACGUUUAUCAAAUUACAAGCAGGAUAAUGGUUAUCGUCUUCAUAUGGCAGGACAUAUUGAUGAUAUACAGGCAUCAUCUGAUUUGAUCCCUGGCAAAAUGUAUAUUAAGUGCUAAUGUGUCCCGGAGACCAGACAAACUGCUCAGCCAUAUGAAUCAUGGAUUCUGAUAAGGACGCAGUCUGGAGAAAUUGUGUCAGGUGGAUGCACCUGUGUUGCAGAUAAUGGAGCAUGUAAGCAUUGUGUUGCUUUCAUUUUCUCAUUGUCCAGUUUUUGUGAAAGGCACA
Saccostrea cuccullata (small rock oyster) is the source of this 885-nucleotide long non-coding RNA. RefSeq lists it as uncharacterized. The transcript has 3 exons. Lineage: Eukaryota; Metazoa; Mollusca; Bivalvia; Ostreida; Ostreidae. The record is from RefSeq and is a predicted model, not a curated record.